AAGGGAGACCUAAUUCCGGUAGGAGACGAAAAAAAAGUAGUCCCUACCAAGAAUCAAUCCCAAAAGGUCGAAGCGAGGCAAGAUUGGCUUUCAAACUAGGUUCUGGGUUCAAACAAGACCUGAAUCAGGAACAAGGGCUAUUAGCUCAGGUGGCUAGAGCGCACCCCUGAUAAGGGUGAGGUCCCUGGUUCGAGUCCAGGAUGGCCCACCUGCACAGGUGGCAAAAACAAAGAAGCGAGGAAUCAGCACCUUAUCUUACUCAUAUAGUAAGAGAGAAUGCUGGCUCUGAGUAAAGAGUCCAGAGGAACCUUGAAAACUGCAUAGAGCUAGGUGAAAAAGCCAAAAAAGAAGACCGCAA
Molecule: transfer RNA, 358 nt
Filed under: uncultured Microcystis sp.
Lineage: Bacteria; Bacillati; Cyanobacteriota; Cyanophyceae; Chroococcales; Microcystaceae
Description: partial 16S-23S ribosomal RNA intergenic spacer
Rfam family: tRNA (bases 135-208)
Source: RNAcentral